Molecule: ribosomal RNA, 56 nt
Filed under: Steinernema carpocapsae
Lineage: Eukaryota; Metazoa; Nematoda; Chromadorea; Rhabditida; Steinernematidae
Description: partial small subunit ribosomal RNA
Source: RNAcentral
UAGGUUAUGUUUAUAUAAUAAUUAAAUUUGAUCAUGGUUAACAAGUUGGGUUAAAA